Molecule: ribosomal RNA, 588 nt
Filed under: uncultured bacterium
Lineage: Bacteria
Description: bacterial SSU rRNA
Rfam family: Bacterial small subunit ribosomal RNA
Source: RNAcentral
GAGUUUGAUUCUGGCUCAGAUUGAACGCUGGCGGCAUGCCUUACACAUGCAAGUCGAACGGUAACGCGGGGCAACCUGGCGACGAGUGGCGAACGGGUGAGUAAAGCAUCGGAACGUGCCCAGUAGUGGGGGAUAGCCCGGCGAAAGCCGGAUUAAUACCGCAUACGACCUAAGGGUGAAAGGGGGGGAUCGCAAGACCUCUCGCUAUUGGAGCGGCCGAUGUCAGAUUAGCUAGUUGGUGGGGUAAAAGCUCACCAAGGCGACGAUCUGUAGCUGGUCUGAGAGGACGACCAGCCACACUGGGACUGAGACACGGCCCAGACUCCUACGGGAGGCAGCAGUGGGGAAUUUUGGACAAUGGACGAAAGUCUGAUCCAGCCAUGCCGCGUGCGGGAAGAAGGCCUUCGGGUUGUAAACCGCUUUUGUCAGGGAAGAAAUCCUUUGAGCUAAUACCUCGGGGGGAUGACGGUACCUGAAGAAUAAGCACCGGCUAACUACGUGCCAGCAGCCGCGGUAAUACGUAGGGUGCAAGCGUUAAUCGGAAUUACUGGGCGUAAAGCGUGCGCAGGCGGUUAUGUAAGACAGAGG